Molecule: ribosomal RNA, 752 nt
Filed under: uncultured Parcubacteria group bacterium
Lineage: Bacteria
Description: bacterial SSU rRNA
Rfam family: Bacterial small subunit ribosomal RNA
Source: RNAcentral
UAGUUGGGCAUAGCCAGCCGAAAGGUUGGGUAAUUCCCGAUGGUCCCGCAAGGGUAAAGAUUUAUCGCUUUGGGAGCGGCCUGCGUCGUAUCAGCUUGUUGGUAGGGUAAUGGCCUACCAAGGCUUUGACGCGUAGGGGAGGUGAGAGCCUGACCCCCACCGAUGGAACUGAGAUACGGUCCAUACUCCUACGGGAGGCUGCAGCCGAGAAUAUUCCGCAAUGGGCGAAAGCCUGACGGAGCGACGCCGCGUGAAGGAUGAAGGCCCUCGGGUCGUAAACUUCUUUUAUAAGGGAGGAAUCAUUGACGUUACCUUAUGAAUAAGAGGCUCCCAAUUCCGUGCCAGCAGGAGCGGUCAUACGGAUGCCUCGAGCGUUACCCGGAAUCACUGGGCGUAAAGGGUGUGCAGGUGGUGGUAUUAGUCUCUUGUUAAAGACCGGGGCUCAACCUCGGAUAUGCGAGGGAAACGGUACCACUAGAGGGUGAGAGAGGUGUACGGAACUCAUGGUGUAGGGGUGAAAUCCGUUGAUAUCAUGGGGAACACCAAAGGCGAAGGCAGUACACUGGCUCAUUCCUGACACUAAUACACGAAAGCGUGGGUAACGAAUGGGAUUAGAUACCCCAGUAGUCCACGCCCUAAACGAUCCUAACUAGCCUUGGGGGAGUAUCGACCCUUUCCGAGGCGAAGCCAACGCGUUAAGUUAGGCGCCUGGGUAGUACGAGCGCAAGCUUAAAACUCAAAGGAAUUGACGG